AAGAUUAUAUGAUGCAGCUGCCAAUCCCAACCAAACGUGGUGCUAUCAUUCCAUUUACCUCGUGGAGUGGAUUUGGUGAUUCUACGAAACAACUAUACAAUCAGCCUCUGCAUUACCUCACAAAUGUCUACCUGAAGCAGCUGGAUCGAAACAGGAUUGGUGCUGAUGAUGCGAACGAAAGACUUGAUACUAUUAUUCAUCCAGCCAAAGCUGAAGUUUUCCUCUGGAUGACGGAACAAACUCACAGGCUCACUACUUCUCCACAUCAGCUGGCUACACUCUGGCAAAAAGACCCCAUGUACAAGGCUGAUAUCGAUGCCUGUGCCCCUCUCUCUACUAAUCCAAUUUAGGGGUCUUUCAAUAGGAAGGAUCAGAUUCUAGCAUUCCCUGAACACUGCAAGGGUGUAAUGAUAAUCUCCUGAUCGUAUCUUGUAAAACUUUUUAUUUCCUUUACCAUCUAUGUAGGGCGUUCUCUGGAAUGGACUGAAUGAUCUGUAAACAAUCCGAGAGCUUAGCUAUUGACAAAGUAUCAAACAGGAUUAUUUACAUGCUACCAAUAAUUACUGCAAGAGCAAAUUCCAUGCUCGAAAACGUGAAAUCGGUGGUUAUCUCGAUUAAUAAUUUUACGGUCAUAUAUCUCUGACACUAACUUUGCAUAAGAAUGACAGUCAGAACAGAUUCUGAGAUUCUUGAUUACACGUAUGGGCGUUCCAUAGCUUGUACUUAUGAGUCCAAAGCCUAAGGCCAGUUUUUCACUGUGUCUACUUAGCAAUGUAUCCUUUUCUUGCUCAUCGACAUCUAACAAGACACUUUUAAGGUCAGGAACAAAGCCCACAUCUCUGAGUCUGUAGUUCACUUCUUCCAGCAUUGGGAGAAUAAGAUCUGUAACUAAAUGAGACUGAUCACCUGAAGUGAACUCAUGAAUGGCGCCAUUAUAAUUUUGAACAACUCAAAGAUGAACGAACACGAUGAAAAAUUGGACAAGACAAAAUAACGGAAUUGAUGCUGCGAUCCAAUAUUACCAUAUUGUACUGUCAGUUUGAAAGAAUAACAAUUGAGUUCUUCAUUCAAUAAGAAUAUAAGAAUACAACUGAAUUCUUCAUUCAAGAAGAAUCCAUAUUGUAGUAUCUUCAAAUUAAAUAGAGCUCGUAGGAGUCAAACCCAUGUCAUUUUGAUAUAGACCAAUGCCUCAACCAUGGGGAAAAGUCAUACUUCGUCAAGUUUAUAUAACAGGAAUAUUAAACUACUCACAAGCUAUUUAGGGCAAGUACCCAGUGUGCCUCCAUCCCUGACUAGCGUCACGAGAACUUCAAACAUAAGUUCACUUGUUCUUGUCUUUGUGGUUGAGGUCACAAUUUAAUUUAGCAAAUUCGAAAAGAACUUGUUAGCACACAUUUAUCUUCUCAUAUUUAUUAUAUUUCUUAAUCCCAUCAUCCGCCCAUCCCGACUACACGUCAACCAUCUAUACAUAUAUGUAAUUUUAUAAAAUAUAUUUCUUAAUCACGUCAUCCGCCCACCCCGAUUUACCCUACUUCAAAUCUACCUUUUGCCUCCUUUAAUGAAUCAUUUUUCUUUAUCGUCAGAAUUUUACCGGAUUUUUCUUCUUCUCCGAUUUUGUUUACCACCAAGUCAUAUCUUAUUUUAUUAUCAUCAUCAUGGAUCUAGUCAUAUAUCAAAUAUAUGCGAUAGAGAUGAUAUGAUGGUUGUUACAAUCAGUGGCGGACCCAGAAUAUUAUUUUAGUGGGUUCCCAAAAUAAAAAGAUGCAAUAAUAAUUAUAAAUAGUAAAUAUCAGAAAUAUUUUACACUUUCUGUCAAAAAAAAAUAUAUUCUACACUUUAAAAUUGUUUCCUAUAGUGUUUUCAUCAGAAGUUCAAGUGGGUUUAAAAAGAUUCACCAGGAGAGUUCAAGAGAAGUUAAUUUUUUAAAACCCUACCGAGAGGAUCAAAAUUCAAAGGGAUAGAGCACGAACAGCAAGACAGUAAAUUCUAUUAUAAUUUUUAAACAUGGUAAACUACUACUACAACCUUUUCUUUUGUGUUGUGUAUUGGGCCGUGUAAUUUUCUUUGGGCUUCUUUAUAUUAGAGGGUUCCUCGUUAAUAUGAUAGCGGAUUCCAAAAAUAAAUUCACGGUAACAUAUUCCUUAAGCCCAGGCCCAAGUGGGUUCUUGUCCGCCCGUGGUUACAAUUGUAGGCGUAGUAGAUGUUGAAUGUCUUUCAUCAUCAUCAUAGAUCUAGUCAUAUAUCAAAUAUAUGCGAUAGAGAUGAUAUGAUGGUUGUUACAAUUGUAAGCGUAGUAGAUGUUGAAUGUCGGCUCAGCACAACCUAUAUAAUUAAUGAUGGUAAUUUAAUGAUCAAUACACACAUUUAUUAGCAUUGAGUUUUGUUGAUUUUGGUAAUAUGUAUUUGUGAUUCUAUAAUAUAUUAAUGAUUUUUGAUACAUAUAUUAGUGAUCUCGUGUGAAUUGGUUACACUCAUAUGAAUUUGAAAUUGACAUAUUGAGAUGUUGAUGAUGUUUCUGUUAGUGAUUGUGGUGAAAUAAUUAUGACAUUGAAAAUUAAAUAUAUGAUAAUAUAGUAUUUAAGUUGAUGGAUUUAAUAAGAUAAAUGUCAUGUAAAUAAAUUAUAAAUAUUAUUCAAUAUCUUUUUUGGUUAGACCAUUGAAAUGAAUAUUUAUCCAUUCAACAAAUUUUUUUAUGCUGAACGAAUAAAAUGUACUCCCUCCAUCUCCCUAAAUUAUAUGUAUUGAGGACCAGGCGCGGCGCACAUUUUAAUACUCUUAUAAAAUAUAAUUUAUAAUUUAUUUUUAAGAUUUUUUUCCUGAAUAAAAAUUUAACAUUCAAUUUUUUAUUCAAAAAAAAUUUAAAAAAAAAUUAAAACUAUACUUUAUAGAAGUAUUAAAGUGUAUGUCAAGUGAAAAAACGUGUAGAAAUGAGUGGAACAGAGAAAAUACAUUAUACUUAUUUAAUGAGAAAAAAAGGCUGAACAUGUUAGAAUUUUAUUAUAAUCCUAUAACCGUGAAUACAUCAUCCAAAAAUUAUAAAAUAAAAAGUUAAAUAAACCCAUCCCAACAUACACACAUCAGGAGUUACACCCAUAAAUGUAUAAUAUUACUGAGAUUAUAUAUUGUACACAAUAUUUUUAGAAUCUUUAUUAUUUAAUUAUUUUAAGAGUUAUUCAUUUUCUCAACUCGUAAUGAGAACAAAAAAAAUAUUAUUUACAAAAGUUACAAAUUUAAAAGUACAAGAAAAUCAUAUAAAAAGUCCCUCAAAUUCUAGUCCAUGCUCAAAUUUUAUAAUUCCCUGUAAUAAAAAUAGGAAAAAAAAAAAUCUAUUUUCCUUAAAAGUAAUUCGUGACAAAUGAGGCAAGCAAAAUAGAAAAGACCAAAUGCUUAAAAGUUCGUAUUUUGCUUAAUUGGGGGUGGGAUUUAUAGGCACUGACCACGAGGGGUUUAUGUUUCCGGCGUGUACACAAACGUUAACAAGUACGACGUUGAAGCAGAGUGUGUUAAGGUUCUGACCUUAAUUACUUCCCAAACUUGUACUUCUCUCAAAACGGUACACAUGGUUUCUUGAUUUUUCAUGUCUUUAUCUUUAUAUACAUCGAUAAUUUCUUGAUUUUUAUAUAUCUAUAUCUGCCGUUCUGAUGAAUGUCUGUAUGUAUAGACACAUUAUUUCUUGAUUUUCAUGUCUCUAGCUUUAUAUGUCAUUCUGUUGUUUAUGUAUGUAUAAACCGAGACUGUCCUUGCAUGUGCAUCUACAUUUUAGUUGACACUUUCUAGAUGGAGCUGAUUAUUCCUUGUACUCGAUGGUUUGAGCUGAUAUUCUUGUCCUUGGUUCCGAAGGGUCGAGGUGUUCGAGCCUCUAUUAAGACAAGUGUGUGCCGGAGUGUGCCGGAGUGAACUUAGUAACUCUCAUUCUUAGAUGUGGAUGUGUCGGGGUAUAUAUGUGUGUUUAAAAUGAAUUGCAGAAUAUAUAACACUGCUAUUAAAAUGUAUGUAUGGGUUCCUUAUUGUGGACCACAGACUGUUAUAGAAGAUUCAUGUGUCAAAAAACAAGAACGAUUAUUAGUUUUUUAGUCAUGGAUGGAAGAGUCAUUUUUUACUAUAUAGGUCAUUGGCUAAUGGAAUAUUGCUGCCAAGAUAUGCAAAUCUGAGGAGAAAUAAUGACAAAAUUAACAGAUUUUGGAAGACGUUAAAAUAUCUAUAUCAAUCCUGCAAAAAAAACCAAUUUUACCUUUAUAGUAAGAAGAAGAGAUAAGUAGAGAGAACUCAGAGAAGAGAUAAGCACAAGGAGAGAAGAGAUAAGAGUAAGACAUAAGUCGUUAUCUUUGCCGCCGCCGUCAUCGGAGAUGGAGAGAAGUCGCCGUUGUCGUCGGAGGAGGAGCGUGUGCGUUUCUGUGUCUUCUUUCCAGUUGCAAAAAGGUCAGCCCCUUUCGGUUUGGGGAUAGAUCGUAACUGGGUUUGUAUAAAUUCUGUGUUUUACUUUCCUAUUUUUAAAGUCAUGUGAAAUUACCUUUUCUGCCCCUCCCGCACCGCAAUUGGCGCCCCCCUGCGUAUCGGAUCAGUGGAACGUGUCGAUACGCCACUUGGUGCACCGCGGCACACCCCCGCACCGGUCCGUAUCCCAUACGUGAUACUCCACCCAUGUGGAGUAUCCCUGCUUUCCAGCUUAUUAUCCAUCUCGUUAUAUGUUUCUUAUAGUUGUUUCUAACCCCCAUUAUAUAAUUGCUUUCAAUAAACAAAGUAGUCGAGUGGAUUCUAUCAUUUUGAAUUGUGGCGUACCUCUUCCCAGUAACUAUUUCAAAGAAUAUGGACCGCCAGAAUGCUGCAGUGAAACCAGUUGGGUUCAUAUUUUGUGAACUACAGGGAAAGAAAGAAGAGGCGGAGAGGUUAAAUGUAGAUGAGAANGGGAAAGAGAGAAGAGGCGGGAGAGGUUAGAUGUAGGUGAGAAUAUAUUGUUUGAUGUUUUUAUCAUCUAGAGAUUAACGGGGUAACUGUUAAGGAGUGCUAGAAUUUUGACUCGACCAAAAGGAAAAAAGGAUAAUGUACCCUCCACUUUGGAAGGCUUCCUUAAAAAAAAAUUCUUAUGAGAAAGUCCAGUGAUGUUAACGUGGUCAUAGACUCAUAGUAGGCGACUAUUGUUUCCACUAAUUAGAUUCACUUAAAAAUCAGAUGGUGUAUACCUUAUGAAAUCCUGAAAGAAUAUUUGAAGCUUCAAGAGGGACUUAUUGUGGUAUAUUAUGAUCAAGUACUCGAGUAUUUAACGAUAAAAGGAAUAAAAAGCUCAUAUAGGAAAAUCAUAUAGCUUUCCUUUCACGGGGUUUCAUUACACUGAAAGAAGCUUCAAACUUCUUUCAAUAGAAAUUAUGUAUAUCUUAACUUAGUACUAACUUACAAUAAUUGUGCCGUUAUUUUUGCAAAUUGAUCAUAGAUUUCUUUUACUAAUGAGUUGUCAUCUUCGUGUUCAAUACGUAGUUUGCUAUUUCUGUUGUGGCUUACUUAAAAUUGUGCAGCUUUGAGGGCCUGCGGCGUAGUCUGGAUAGUUGANGGCAGCUUUCAAUAUUUUGAAUUUAGUGAGGCCAAAACUGUGCUUUGAAAGAUUAUUAUAAAUUGAUAAUAGUAGAUAUAUGCAUAAAAUUCCAAGUUCGCAUGUGAACUAACCCUACUGUAGGCAUAGCUGCGCCUCUCCCUGAGCCUGAGGCAACUACUCUAUGUUUUACUGCAACGGCGUACUUGAAUUUGACAUUUACCGACUUCGUAUAAAUUGGAGCUUACUGAUUUUACCUUUCCUUUUUUUCUUUUUUGCUGAUCGCAGCGUUCCUUUUAUAGGUUUAAAAUUAUGAAGAGGGCAAUGCCAUUGGAACCAACUGACAAUGUUAUGACAACUGGUAAUUGUUUUCCGUCCCCAUUAUACCAAAGCUUAAUAUUAAUUACUUCCAUUACUCUUUAAGGUCUUAGCGUAAAUGUAUGUCUAAUCUGAUAUAAAAGCUUAGAAAUUGUUUCAAUUCUAAUGAUCAAUGAGCAGCAGUUUGAGUUCUCUCUCAUGUAUAUCUUCUAUGUAAACUGAUUAGCUCUUUAAUUAAAUUUGAGGUAUAAAGAAGUGAAAAGAAAGCAUGAAUGUGGGUGUGGGGUGUACACAGUACGAUAAUUUGGCAACUUUUUAAGUAUAGGGUUUCGGGUAUGAGGGUAUACGGCAAAUGUUAAAAUAACACAAGUAUAUCAUAGAUAUGAUUCAAAAGUUGCUCAAUAUAUGGUAAUUCAGUGGGUUAGUGUUACAAAAGCAGAAAUGAAAACAAGAUGAAAACCAAGGAUCAAAAUUUUGACUUUACACAUUACUUUUAAAGAGGUGAAGUGAAACUGUGAAAGCGGACAAGAUUUCGGACCUGAAAUAGGUUAUUUUUUUCCUAGUCAAUCAAUAUUAUAUCAUCACAUGGUCCACUGUCAAAUACCCUCUAAUUUUAUCCUCAGUCUGGUUUCUAUAUCUUCACACAUUCCGCUCCUUUUUACUAUCACUUGGAUUGCAGAAAAUGGUGUCUUCAGAAGUGCCCAAGCGUACCAAGAUUAUAUGAUGCAGCUGCCAAUCCCAACCAAGCGUGGUGCUAUCAUUCCAUUUACCUCGUGGAGCGGAUUUGGUGAUUCUACGAAACAAUUAUACAAUCAGCCUCUGCAUUACCUCACAAAUGUCUGCCUGAAGGAGUUGGAUCGAAACCGGGUUGGUGCUGAUGAUGCGAACAAAAGACUUGAUACUAUUAUCCAUCCAGCCAAAGCUGAAGUUUUCCUCUGGAUGACGGAACAAACUCAUAGGCUCACUACUUCUCCACAUCAGCUGGCUACACUCUGGCAAAACAACCCCAUGUAUAAGGCUGAUAUCGAUGCCUGUGCCCCUCCCUCUGCUAAUCCAAUUUAGGGGUCUUUCAAUAGGAAAGUGAGAUUCUAGCAUUCCCUGAACACUGCAAGGGUGUAAUGAUAAUCUCCUGAUCGUGUCUUGUAAAACUUUUUAUUUCCUUUACCAUCUAUGUAUGGCGUUCUUUGGAUUGGACUGAAUGAUCUGUAAACAAUCCGAGAGCUUAGCUAUUGACAAAGUAUCAAACAGGAUUAUUUACAUUGCUACCAAUAAUUACUGCAGGAGCAAAUUCCAUGCUCGAAAACGUGAAAUCGGUGGUUAUCGUCAGAAUUUUAC
This 7177-nucleotide long non-coding RNA is filed under the name Daucus carota (carrot). Its description in RNAcentral is "long non-coding RNA (DCAR_LNC006470)". Lineage: Eukaryota; Viridiplantae; Streptophyta; Magnoliopsida; Apiales; Apiaceae. The record is from RNAcentral.